Macrobrachium nipponense is the source of this 489-nucleotide long non-coding RNA. RefSeq lists it as uncharacterized. The transcript has 2 exons. The record is from RefSeq and is a predicted model, not a curated record. Lineage: Eukaryota; Metazoa; Arthropoda; Malacostraca; Decapoda; Palaemonidae.
UUUUGUCUUUUCCAGGUUUUGGUUGCGAGUUUGACUUUGAGCGCCUGUUAUAACGGCAAAGCCUCUCGCAUGGUAAAGCUGCUCUCUGUAGCAACAGGUCUGCAGGAUGAACCAGAAUUGAAGAAAAUGUGCAGACACGAUGCGGGUUGCUAACCUUUCAGAGUUAGGCUGAUAUUUCUAUGGAUCAAAGAUGUGGGCAGUGGUGAUAGAAGUUCACUCUCGACGUGGUUCGUUAAACACGUAAAGCCGUUGGUCCCGUUGCUGAAUAACUGGUUCCAUGCAACAUAAAAACACCAUACAAACAAACAAGAUGUCGACAAAGAUGGAUGUGAGCUUCUAUUCGUGUAAUUUCUGAGUUUUCCAUGUUGUGCAUUUCAUUGAAACCCUGAUAGGUUUGAGUUAGGAUCCUGGGAUGUUAUGCAUCCGUAAACUUACUGUUUUCCGCUGUAUAUUUUAAAAUCAAAUAUCAAUAAAUAAUGGGUCUUUAUA